UCAGAGUUUUUCGAAAAAAAA
Molecule: non-coding RNA, 21 nt
Filed under: Caenorhabditis elegans
Lineage: Eukaryota; Metazoa; Nematoda; Chromadorea; Rhabditida; Rhabditidae
Source: RNAcentral